This 268-nucleotide long non-coding RNA is filed under the name Elaeis guineensis (African oil palm). Its description in RNAcentral is "long non-coding RNA (EGUI_LNC005117)". The record is from RNAcentral. Lineage: Eukaryota; Viridiplantae; Streptophyta; Magnoliopsida; Arecales; Arecaceae.
CCUGCUUGUUGUUCCUCUCUCUACUUUUCUUGUUUACUUUCUCUUAUUUUCUAUUUUUGCCUUUUUGGUUCCUGUCUUUUCUUUUCUCGUGUACAUUCCCCGAUCCUUGAAUACAAUUUUCUGGUAGGAGUGUUUCAGAGCUCUUUUUCUAAUUAAUAUAAAAAAAAAUAUUUAUUUAAAUAAUUUAAUUUUUAACUUAUUUAUCAGAUGGAUCCAAAAUUGAUAAAACAUCAUUUUGAACGACGUUUUAUCAUUGCCACGUCACCCC